Molecule: ribosomal RNA, 325 nt
Filed under: Cercozoa sp.
Lineage: Eukaryota; Cercozoa
Description: SSU rRNA
Rfam family: Eukaryotic small subunit ribosomal RNA (bases 51-325)
Source: RNAcentral
GAUUUCUGGUUAAGUAACGCUAGCCCGCCCUUGCCAGGGGUGUGCGCUGGUUAGUUGCUUGCCAUCUUUCUAGAGAGCCAGCAGCUGUCAUUCACUUGGCGGCUGUGACGCGAUCUAGAUCUUUUACUUUGAAAAAAUUAGAGUGUUUAAAGCAGGCUUGCGCUAUGAAUACAUUAGCAUGGAAUAAUAAUUUAGGACUUUGCUUCUAUUUUAUUGGUUUCUAGGAGUAAAGUAAUGAUUGAUAGGGAUAGUUGGGGGUGCUAGUAUUCAUCGGCCAGAGGUGAAAUUCUUGGAUUCGAUGAAGACUAACUAAUGCGAAAGCAUU